RNAcentral lists this ribosomal RNA (371 nucleotides) under uncultured organism. RNAcentral's name for it is "partial 16S ribosomal RNA". It matches the Rfam family "Bacterial small subunit ribosomal RNA", at positions 527 to 896 of the family's 1533-position model. The record is from RNAcentral.
GGGGGGUGCAAGCGUUAAUCGGAGUUAUUGGGCGUAAAGGGUUCGUAGGUUGUUUGUUAAGUUAUGUGGGAAAUACCUAGGCUUAACCUAGGAAUGUCGGAUAAUACUGAUGAACUUGAGUAUAGUAGAGGGUAGUGGAAUUUCCGGUGUAGCGGUGAAAUGCGUAGAGAUCGGAAGGAACACCAGUGGCGAAGGCGGCUACCUGGACUAAUACUGACACUGAGGAACGAAAGCGUGGGGAGCAAACAGGAUUAGAUACCCUGGUAGUCCACGCUGUAAACGAUGUCAACUAGCUGUUGGGUAAAUGAAUUUACUUAGUGGCGCAGCUAACGCGAUAAGUUGACCGCCUGGGGAGUACGGUCGCAAGAUUA